GUGUUUUGCACUGUAAAAACUUGAGAUCUGUAUAAUGUAAGAGACCUUAAUAUAACUUUCGGUGCCGAUCCUAUUGCUUGAAUUAUUUCAAUCUGUUUUAAAAGAAUUCUGGUACAUCAUGCAAACUGAAGUCGAUCCUACACUAUAUGUGGCAUCCGUACUUCUUGCUCGUGUAAGAACAAAUCCGGUAAUAAGUUGAACUCUUUAGGUUACAAUCGGGGGAAAUGGGAUAGGAUUGUGCAUGGCGACGACAAUUGGUACAUAUCUGUCGUCAUCUGUGAAACAGAUUUCGAUAACAGUCAACCAACUCGUGAC
This 315-nucleotide long non-coding RNA is filed under the name Mytilus galloprovincialis (Mediterranean mussel). Lineage: Eukaryota; Metazoa; Mollusca; Bivalvia; Mytilida; Mytilidae. The record is from RNAcentral.